Long non-coding RNA from Ctenopharyngodon idella (grass carp), 941 nucleotides. RefSeq lists it as uncharacterized. NCBI's taxonomy places the organism in Eukaryota, Metazoa, Chordata, Actinopteri, Cypriniformes, Xenocyprididae. The transcript is spliced from 4 exons. The record is from RefSeq and is a predicted model, not a curated record.
ACAAGUUUUCAGCCAGCAGCAAAGACGAGGUGGGGCGUGUCGCGGAGGGAGGGCAGCUGAACUCGACAAAGCCGACCUGAUAUAUAGUAAUUUUUUUUUUCUUUCAUUAUAUUUUGAUUUAAUUAUACUGGUAUGUAUAUUUUUGGAGUUUUACAUAUGAUUUUGUAAUGAAGUGUACUGCCCCUUUAAGAAAAUCUUCACUUUGAACGCGUUCUCUCCUAGCUCAGUUAACGCUAAGCUACACUGAAAGGAGGAUGUCUGGUGGCUCACGGAGCCAAAGAUGUUUUUGAGAAGUCACUCAAUAUAUGCUGCGUCCUAAUAUUAAUUCUUCGUUUGUCCAGGUAAAGCACAGAUGACUAGCAGUCCAAAGUGAGAACCUGUAUGACCAAUAAGGUGCCAUAAACAAAACACACACAAAAAAAUUCAGAAGGUAGUUUUUUAGUAAUAUGAAUGGUCUUAAUGAUAUCCAAUGAUGGAAAACUAUGUGACCUACUUUAUUAAUUCGGUUGUAGGAUUGUAAAGGACACACAAAAAAACAACAACAACGACUUUCAUAGAGACCAAGACCUUCUAUAAAAGCUUUGAAUCCAGUGGUAAACCUUGUGGGAAUCGGUGAGAUGUUAUACCUGCAUGGUGUUUCACCUCCUCCGGUGCCAUUACGUCAGCUACCGGAUUGUCAGCUGGUAGCCGACGUUUACCGAUGCUUCGCCCCUAUACCAGUACAUGUCCCAUCAGGGGGGAAGUGGUAUAUCAGGGAUGUUUCCCUGCCAGCCCCUGCAGCAGCCUUUAUUGGGGUGUUACCCCCCCAGUCACUCUCCUUCCUCUGGAGCCAGAGCCAAAAGGUCUUUCUCUGCCGCCUCCUCAAGCUCCUUCACCACCUUGUGCCGGUUUAUUCCCGCCAUGCCAGACUCACAGAGUAGUUAAUAAAGAUUACAUCAUUA